CACACUCACACACACACACACACACACAGUAUCAGCUGUUUAUCUUUGUGCCUUUAGUUAGAAAAGGCAACAUGGAAGAAGUGAUCAUUAGGAAUAAACUGUGGCCUGUGAGGCAUGAUGGGGGACUUCGGUGUAGAAGAUACAGAAUAGCUCCAGCUUUUCUCUAGGAGCUCUCAACAGCUUGAGUAUCAGCACAGAGAAAGUCAGUGGGUUGAAUCACAAUUUACAGUUGGUAGUUCUUGGGGCUGACAUGUUUUCUUUAAUGUGCCUUUUGUUUCUACUUUUAGAUUAGUCAUCGAUAUUUAAAAACCGGCACACUUCACAUAAAAAUUUGGCUCCUCUUAAGUAAAUGGAAGGUAUGGCCUCAUUGAGUUUACCCUUCAGCCUGAAAUGAGUAGUGAUGCCCUGUUAGAGGUCACAGAGGUUAGAGGUUAGAGGUAUCUGCAGUCCCCUUUGACUCUUAGGAUUCCUACCUGACUCCUGCACACGUUCAGGUUUGCCAUCUCUGGGAUUAAAUAAGUUGGGGUUGGGGUAAAGGGGACAGAUACAGGAGGAGGAUAAAGAGGCAGGAAAGGUAAAGGUGUUAGGAAGACGGUGAUUCAAGUGAAACACCAUGGGUUCCGGGCUCCAUUGCUAACGAGGUACAGUUAGGAGGAGGUUCCGGCUGUGGAGAAAAGGGCACAAUCUGGGGAGUGGAUGCAUCAGUGAGUUUGAAGUGUCAGUGUGGUAGAGCACGGGCCAGGGAGAACUGGAAGGAUGUACCGUCGUAAUCAGCAAAUAGGAUGUGUGACUUCAGGGAGUUCAGAGAGCUGUGGCCGCAGGACUGAGUCACCGAAGUAGAGGGGGCAGCAAGGGUCACUGGAUUCCAAAUGAUCAAGUGAGGCCAGAGUGUUGAAAAUACUUGGUCCACAUAGACUCUUCAAGCCUCUCAAAUUAUAUUCAUAUAAAACAACUAACAGGCGUUGUGUGCUUCUGUGUUCCAGGCACUAUCCUGGGUUGCUUUUCAUCAGUUCAUUUAAUCCGCAUAGCAAUCAUAUGACAUCUGGGCACUUUAAUCGUCCCCACUGUACAUAUUCUACAGUUGAGGCUUAGAGAGACUGCACAACUUAUCCAAGAUCACAUCGUUCCUAAGUGGCCAGAACUUGACCCUAAGAACUGCCUUUCAAAGUUCAUUCCCCAAACCUCUGCCCCCUAAGGCAUUGGAUAGGAGACAGUCAUAGGAAGGGAAUGUUUGCAUGAGAGAGGAAAGCAACGAUGUUGGAAGUAGCCAGCGGUCCACUUGGAGAAUGUUGACCUCCUUUCCAUCCCAGGUGAAUAAGUGAGUAGUAAGUGGGGGAUUCUCAGUCCCACUGGAGAUGGAUAUGAGGAAAUAGAAGCUUUAGGGGAGAGUCAGGUAAAGGUUAGAAACAGAUUUGAGUGGUGCAUUGUGUGUUAUGAUCAGAGGAUCAGGGAGUUUGUCUGCAGAGGAAAGUUUGGAGGAAGGAGAGGAGUCAAUUGGAAGAGAGGUUGGCACAGAAGGGUAAGUCCCUGAGAAGCAGAGCAGUGCUCUCUGCAGAUGUGCAUGCCUUGGAGGAUGAGAGACAAUACAGUCUUUCACUUUGCCCUGAUGACAAGGAUGAGAGGCUGGGAAUUGACUGCCCGAAGGGAUCCAAGUGGAUACAUGCUUCAAGUCAUCUGUUUCAGCACCAGCUCAGGUCCCAGAUGGCUCUGGUGGCCUCAGAGUGUCAGCAGCCAGGCAGUGGAGGCUUUGCUCAGAUUUUCAAGUAGAAGGUUAGUCCAAACAUCCUUGGGGUUUGUUCUUUGUGUGCUCUGGGAAGGAGAUUGAAUAGUCAACAUCCCAUUGUGUUCUCAUUUAUGGUUAUAUAUACAUGAAGCUUCCCUAAACUAAAUCCCUAAACUUAGGACCAGAACCCUGUGUAUCCCCAGUCCCAUCCCAGCUUCGUGCCUACUGCACGUAUACAGUCAGUAAACAGCUACAAAAUCAUUGCAUGUUCAUAAACAAGCUGAUUCAUUGUUCCAGAGCGUCUCUUCUCGGAGGCGGUUGGCAAUUCCGCUCUGAAGUGGGAAGAACUUACGUUGCUGUACUAAAACUUUCUCUCCGUGUCCCAGCCCCCUUCUCCUCCUUUCUACAGUGUGAUGUGCCAAUUUGCCUGCCUACUUUUCCUAACUAGUCCUUCAUGCAGCCCUCACUCCCAUCCUGACCUCCUCUCUAAAGCCAUCCUACCAGCCGUGAAAGCAGAUGCCAUUGUCUUCCCCCUAGACCUGCGGAAGUGAAGGCAGGGAGCCUUCCGUUCCUGGGACUUGGCCAGCUCUCGAUACGCGAUAUCAGAUUGUUGAGCUGGACUGAGUGGCCCAGGAUUUCUGCCAGAUCCCAGCUCUAACAUUUCAACAGGGGCAGGAGCCCUGCGAUUAUUUUCAGCUGUGUUUCUGCUGUGUCCCCUCCCCCAUGACCUGCCACUGGGGUUGAGUCCCUUCAAAACUAUCCCUGACUUUUUUUUUCAGCCAGUCACAUCUAGGUAGUAAUUUGUGAAAGAUGCCAUUGUUUUCUCCCUAUCACAUCUAUUUGCUGUGGGGCAGAGUCCUAGAAGGUAAUUGUUAACUUCUUAUAGGAUCCUCGGAGACUUACAACAGUUUACACCAUCUUUCUUUUCCCCGCAGUUUACACCACCUUUCUUUCAACUUGGCACCUUAAGAUAAGCUUCCCAAGCCACAGGCCAACCUUGAGGAGGAAGCUAGGAAGAGAAGAGCUUAAUGAUGGCUUUAUUAUUAUUGCAGAUAGUAGGGAGGCAAAGGAAUAUUUUAUUUUUUAUUUAUUUUAUAAUGUUUUAUUUCCAUAGGUGUUUGGGAAACAGGUGGUAUUUGGUUACACGAGUAAGUUCUUCAGCAGCGAUUUGUGAGAAUUUGGAGCACCCAUCAGCUGAGCAGUAUACACUGAACCCAAACCUAAUGUCUUUAGCUUAUCCCUUCCCUACAUGGGAGCAUGUCCUUUGAUUCCUCCCCCCAGAAAAAAAAAAAAACACAUGAAAACAACAACAACAAAGGCAGAGUGAUAUUCUGGUGGUUUCUGAAGGGAGAGUGGUGAAGAAGGUGCAGUUUCUGGUUGGCAGGUGAUAGCUCGCUGUACACAGGGGAGGGAGGGAUGGCUGUUGGGGGAGAGUGUGGUGCCCAGAGCAGGGCUGCCCUUGUGGUUGGUUAUAGCUCAGUGGCCGUGCUGGGGGUGGAAAGGCCAGGAAAUCACAGGAAUAAGCUUGAGAUAGGGGAGGAAGAGUGCAGGAGGGUUAGUUAUUCAUACAUACAGAAUGGUAAAUCUCUUAUGGUGAGGUAUGGGAAAACUGUGGGCCUAAGGGACUUUCAUAGGGAGGACUGCUGUUUUCCAUAAGAAGAGUUGGACCCUCAGAUAGGAAACCUGUUUCUUUGUGGAUAUUUUAUUUGCAGUCUUCUUUAAACUUACACAUUCCUGGAAAGAGGUAAGAAAUUUAAUCAGUAGAAUGAUAGUACAUCGAAUUUAAUUAAAGUUGAAGCUACUUUUUAUAGAAUAGCCCUGUGUUUUAUGUGUCAUUAUCAUUUCCAUUCCCGACAAGCUAUUUCAUUAAUACACUGCGUAGAAUCCUAGUAGCACAAGUGCUUUGCCCUUUUCAUUCCUCAUUUAUCCUUGUUUCCUGACCAAAGGGAAACCUCCCACCCACCUGUAAAUAGCAGUUUUUAAUUUAUAGACAGUGAUGUCUCCACUUUUGAAGGCCUCAGUUAUGGUGUGUAAUAAAUCCAUUAUUGGAAGAAAUCUUUUCCAGAAGACUUCACUGGCUUGCUUUCCUCUAGGAUAUGGGAAGAGGAAGAUCAGGGUCUGCUGAGGAAGAAAGCAAAAAGUCAGCAGUGCACAGGCCCUAUUUUGAGGUGGGCCUGAGGGUUGAGGUGCUUGGAGAGGAGGAGGAUCAGGUGAGUAAGGGACGAGAGGUGACUGAUGUUCCUUCCGGAAGGACAGGGGGCAGAGGAUGAGCUGAGGAUGAGCUGAGGUCGGAUAGCUGCAGUGUCGGGGGUGGGAAUGGCAAUGAUAGAAUCAAAGGAUUUUAUAUUUAGAGAAAGGUUUAUUGUGAUCCAACUAUCUCACUUUAUGGAUGAGAAAACAGUCUCCAAGAGUUUAAGUCGCUUGCUAGGAGUCACACAUUUUUCUUCAGGGUGACAAUAUGGGAUAAAUUGUUAAUGUUCCUGUUCUUUUCUUGUAUCUCUCACUCUUAAGCAGUGGUAUUCAAGAACAAGUACUGGUAAUCAUCGUUCUCAUUAUAAUGUUAAAACUAGUCAUACUUGUUUUUUUCCAGUGGAAAGUACAAAUUAAACUGUGACCACCCAGGCUGUGCACAUCUAGGCACAAAGUUCUUGGAAAGUGGAUUGCAGAUUCACAUGAGCAGAAUCUCAUGGAGAGCCUUUUAUAUGGGCAGAUUCUGGAGCCAUCCCCAAACUUGCAGCAAAACAGAGUUUGAGUGGGUACCCUGGAAUCUGCAUUUUAAACAAAUUCCAUAGUCCUUCCUUCCACAUACUAAUUUUGAAAAGGACCGUACCUAUAAGCUUGCAGUCUAAAAUGAAUAAAAAUAAAUACAUAACAAUACAUGCUCUAACCCCUGACUUAGUAUCCAUGAAAAGAUUUAUUUCAGAUUAUGCUUGGGUACCUUUAUCAUUUUUUUACUAUUAUUUAUAAGACAAGUAAGACAUGGCCCCUGCACUAGAGGAGUUCACAGGAGAAACAGUAUGGUUUUAAUUUAGUAUGAUAGCCAGUACACUUGUUAGGUACCCCUAUGUACUGCUGAAAGUCAGAGGGUGGAAAAUUAAUCCUGUGGUUUUUGACCAGAGAAGAUCUCAUAGGGUAGGUGGUCUUAAGGUUGCGUGGAAUUCACCAGGGACAAGGGAGAGGCAGGAAUUUGAGGCUGGGUGACAUGAGCUGUGGCUGGUGUGAUGAGGGGUGGGGGCAGGUGGUUCAGUGAAGUCAGAUCAUCAUUGUUGCUGGAGUGUAAGGUGUGUGCUGCAGGAACCAGUAAAUAUGGAAACCAACAGGUAGAGGCAGACUUGGGAGCACUUGCAAGCUGUGCCUAGGAGCUCAGACUGACCUCUGGCCUGCCUGGGGUUGUCUGUGAAGUCCAGGAAGCAAAGGACAUGAAGGGAAGGCAUAAGUGUAUACUCACCGCCCUUCAGCCAGCAGAACCUCUUAAGCGGGUGAGUGCCCUCUAGGGGUUUACAUGAUUUCUGAGUUCUGCUCAUCAUUGCACCUAGGCUCUCAGGUGCCCACUGAGCUUGAAUCCAUUACCUACCUGAGAAAAAAAAGACAGCUUAACUAAGUCCCACCUGGCUGCAGGUGUAACUACGUUACGCAAAAAUGUAUUAAUGUGGUACCUGGAUCGAUCAUCAUAUUAACACUGAGGAUUACAUUUAGAGGCUUGAUUUUUCUGGCUACUUGCAAAUACAGGUUCCAUCUUCUUUGAAGUUAAAAGCUCUUACCCCACAUAUCGUAUGAUUCCAUUUAUAUGAACUAUCCAGAAUUGGCACGUCCGUAGAGACAGAACAUAAAUUAGUGGUUGCUAAGGUUUGGGGUAGGGGAAAUGGGAGUGACUGCUAUUGGGUACAGGGUUUCUUUUUGAGGUGAUGAAAAUGUUCUGAAAUUAGGUACUAGUGAUGGCCCCGUGAAUAUAAAACCACUCAAUUGUAUGCUUUAAAAGGAUGAUUGUUAUGGUAAGUGAAUUAUAUCUCAAUAAAGCUGUUUUGUUUU
Molecule: long non-coding RNA, 5752 nt
Organism: Sapajus apella (tufted capuchin)
Lineage: Eukaryota; Metazoa; Chordata; Mammalia; Primates; Cebidae
Exons: 2
Source: RefSeq, a predicted model, not a curated record